GAUGAACGCUGGCGGCGUGCCUAACACAUGCAAGUCGAACGCUCGCAAGAGAGUGGCGCACGGGUGAGUAACACGUAGCUAAUCUGCCCUCAAGACAAGGAUAACUGUAGGAAACUACUGCUAAUACUUGAUAAGCUUACGGACUGUAGAGGUCUAUAAGAAAAGAUUUAUCGCUUGAGGAUGAGGCUGCGCGCCAUCAGCUAGUUGGUAAGGUAAUGGCUUACCAAGGCGACGACGGCUAGGGGACCUGAGAGGGUGACCCCCCACACUGGGACGU
This 277-nucleotide ribosomal RNA is filed under the name uncultured bacterium. RNAcentral describes it as "partial 16S ribosomal RNA". It matches the Rfam family "Bacterial small subunit ribosomal RNA", at positions 28 to 321 of the family's 1533-position model. The record is from RNAcentral.